AUUGAACGCUGGCGGCAGGCCUAACACAUGCAAGUCGAGCACGAAAGUCUUCGGAUGAGUAAAGCGGCGGACGGGUGAGUAAUGCAUGGGAAUCUGCCUGGUAGUGGGGGACAACGUUUCGAAAGAGACGCUAAUACCACAUACGCCCUACGGGGGAAAGGGGGGGAUCUUCGGACCUCUCGCUAUCAGAUGAGCCCAUGUCAGAUUAGCUAGUUGGUAGGGUAAAGGCCUACCAAGGCGACGAUCUGUAACUGGUCUGAGAGGAUGAUCAGUCACACUGGAACUGAGACACGGUGCAGACUCCUACGGGCGGCAGCAGUGGGGAAUAUUAGACAAGGGGGGAAACCCUGAUCCAGCCAUGCCGCGUGUGUGAAGAAGGCCCUAGGGUUGUAAAGCACUUUCAGUGGGGAGAAAGGUUAUUCACCUAAUACGUGAGUAAACUGAUGCUACCCACAGAAGAAGCACCGGCUAACUCCGUGCCAGCAGCCGCAGUAA
This 495-nucleotide ribosomal RNA is filed under the name uncultured bacterium. RNAcentral describes it as "partial 16S ribosomal RNA". It matches the Rfam family "Bacterial small subunit ribosomal RNA", at positions 30 to 523 of the family's 1533-position model. The record is from RNAcentral.